AACAGUGUGUGGAACGUUGGCGACCUCGGCGCUCGAGCUGCACUCCGCUGGGCUCUUGGCAGCACCCUGUGCUCUGAGGGUGUCUUGCCCGCCGGGCGCCGUGGCUCACGCCUGUAAUCCCAACACUUUGGGAGGCUGAGGCGGGCGGAUCACUUGAGGUCAAGAGUUCAAGACCAGCCUGGCCAACAUGGUGAAAGCCCAUCUCUACUAAAAAUACAAAAAUUAGCCAGAUUCUACUCUAAAAGUCACCAGGAAAAAUUCAGCUCCACUGGUCCUGGCUCUAAGUCUACUAGCAAAAUCUUCCAGAGAAGUGGAAAAGCCAUCAGCCAAUGUGUUAGACUAUCAUUUCCAUGACCUUACACCUAUCAAAAAGGCACUAUUACCAGGCUUAUAGAAUUCUAAAAAAGUUGGAAACCAUUUUCCAUUAUAAAAGAAAUUCUUCCAAAUCACACAAAACACUCUGACACUUCUCCAAUUCCCCCUAUCAUGGGGCUGGCAGCAGCCGCUUUGCGUCCUGAAUGUCAUGACAGUGAUGAUAACAGUAAUGAUGAUAACAGCAAUGAUGAAGUCUCACAUUUAAAAUUUUCAAGUCACUCAUCACAUCCCAAGUCACUCCCUUCAUUACCUUUUAUUUAUACUGGAGUCAUCCUGUGUGCCUCAGUCAGACCAUUUUGUAUGUACAAUGACCGACAAUGAGAUUUAACAUGCAGUUUGCAGAUCCUCCCUUCUCUGGGUCACCUGAAAAUAAGCCACAAACAAAG
This 761-nucleotide long non-coding RNA is filed under the name Homo sapiens (human). Its description in RNAcentral is "HSALNT0304857". The record is from RNAcentral. Lineage: Eukaryota; Metazoa; Chordata; Mammalia; Primates; Hominidae.